Long non-coding RNA from Papaver somniferum (opium poppy), 1052 nucleotides. RefSeq lists it as uncharacterized. NCBI's taxonomy places the organism in Eukaryota, Viridiplantae, Streptophyta, Magnoliopsida, Ranunculales, Papaveraceae. The record is from RefSeq and is a predicted model, not a curated record. The transcript is spliced from 10 exons.
UGGGACGUACCAUUUUCUCUUUACCUUCUUUCAUUUUCUCUUUACCUUCUUCCUCUUCUUCUGAAAAAAUCUCGUUAAGCUAAACCUCCUCCUCCGUUCGUGAUAUUCCCCUCUGAGAUCUCAAAUUCGUUCACAGUGAAGCGACACUUGAUUCUCAGGGUUUGCAAAUUACAAGAGAACACUUUCCGCGUCUUCAUCGAUUUUGGGUUUGCAAAUUACAGAUGCUCAUCAUGCAAACUUUGGGUGCAUAUUUCUGGUGGUGGCAGUUUUCCUCUAGCGAGCGUUACUAACUUAGCUGAUCCUUUCCCUUUACCAUCUGUUGAUAUCAAUAAUCUAAAGGUGAGAAGAAGCUAUCGAAAGGUGAUCGUUCCUGAUAAGUAGAAAGAAGGUGCUAUCCAAGAAACAUCUCCUAUCUAAGAAAAACAGUAAUCGAGUUUCCAUCUCACGUUCUGUUACUACAGAGACUCCCAACUGCAUCACUGCUAAAGAUUGCUCAACUUAUCCAGUUCAAACAUUAUAAUUCAGGUGAGUAUGUUGUUCGAGAAGGAGAAAUUAAGUAUGGAAUUUACUUCAUCUGGCAGGAUUGCUUGAGAUGUGAGCAUCGGGUGUUGAAGAAGUUAGCGGAUAUAGAAAAUAGGGCCAAACAAAAGGUUCAACAGUGACACACUGGCGGCUCCAAGCCACAUAUGAAAUCCAACAAAGAGGGUCAAAUGGAAAUGCGGCAGGAUACUGGCAGUUCAAUGGAAAUUCUGGUGCCAUGUGCCAACGGGAGGCGAACUUAUUUAGGUUAGAUACUACGGUUUCGUUCUUCAUGUAUGUCGAUCGAUGACUUUGUUGCAGAAUUUCGAUGAUGGUAGAUGGUAGGAAUUAAAUGCUACGGAGAAAUAAAGUUCGUUCUGGAGCAGAAGCAAUCAAAUACAUUUCCAGUGCAUAUGGUGCACCGUUUACGUCCAAGUUGUGUACAACUAUGUACAUCACCUGUUGAUUGUUUUUGCGGAGUUUUUUCUUUUGUUGUAUGAGACUUGUUAUUCUAAAUGUUUGAAUCAUUUUUG